This 324-nucleotide ribosomal RNA is filed under the name uncultured bacterium. RNAcentral describes it as "bacterial SSU rRNA". It matches the Rfam family "Bacterial small subunit ribosomal RNA", at positions 28 to 334 of the family's 1533-position model. The record is from RNAcentral.
GAUGAACGCUGGCGGCGUGCUUAAUACAUGCAAGUCGAGCGAAGCACUUUAACGGAAUUCUUCGGAAGGAAGGUAAAGUGACUGAGCGGCGGACGGGUGAGUAACGCGUGAGCAACCUGCCUUUCAGAGGGGGACAACAGUUGGAAACGACUGCUAAUACCGCAUAAUGUGUUUUGGGGGCAUCCCCGGAACACCAAAGAUUUAUCGCUGAAAGAUGGGCUCGCGUCUGAUUAGCUAGUUGGUGGGGUAACGGCCUACCAAGGCGACGAUCAGUAGCCGGACUGAGAGGUUGGCCGGCCACAUUGGGACUGAGACACGGCCCAG